AAAGACUCAAAACUUUGCCUGGCCUCUCGAAGGCUCUUAACAAGUGUUAUCUAUUAUUAUUAUGCAGACUUUUAUACAUAUUGAUUCCUGAGGUACCAACAAGCCACUAACAUCUUCCAACCCUACAAUGCAAGAAGGCCGACAAGAACGUGGUGGGACAGCCCCUGGCUGGCACAGGCAGUGAACUUCUUCCAGACAUCAAAGGUUCCGCCAAAGAAACUUCUCUGCUUUCAAGGAUUCAUAGGAUUAGAUUGGGGUCAUGCAGAUAAUCCAGGAUGAUCCCCCUACCUUAAGUUAUUAAAAGAAAUAGAAGAUCUGAUCCACAGAAACACUGUGAUUGUCGCAGGGAAGCAUAUCCUAGAGGGCAUGCAGGCUAUUGAUAUUCUCUCCUCAAGCCGGAAACUCUCUGGAGAUCCAUGAGAAACACAGAAUCACAACAAAGACUGGAAAACAAAUGGAUGGAAUCAGAGACGGUUGCAGACACGUAAAUAGCUUUUCACGCUG
This is a long non-coding RNA of Felis catus (domestic cat), 504 nucleotides long. RefSeq lists it as uncharacterized. The transcript is spliced from 4 exons. NCBI's taxonomy places the organism in Eukaryota, Metazoa, Chordata, Mammalia, Carnivora, Felidae. The record is from RefSeq and is a predicted model, not a curated record.